GGCACUUUUCAAUUAAACCAAUAACUUUUUGCUAGUAUGUUCUAAUUACAACAAAAAAAGAAAUUACAACAUUUAUCAUUUAAUGAAGAGGUAUCUCUAGAAUGUUGCAAACUUGCUCUUUAGUCAGUUCACCAAUAAAGCAAAAUUGCAACUUACAGCUUAUAAAUUAUUACACUUAAGAAUUAAAUAACAAUGGUACAUACUUAUUAUUUAUAUAUACCGACUGCAAAAAGACAUAAAUCUGAUAUUUAUACCUUUCUUUUAAGUACUUAGCCCUGCCAAGAAAGACACCCCAGUUGAAGGCAACCAAGAUGAUCCAUAAAUAAACUUUGAUACAGUGAACUUGCUGGCCUCUUCGACAGACUUAAUCACCCGAUACCCUGGCCAAGUGACGCGUUGCCCUACUGCUGCUCCUGGCCCAAAGUUCAUGUAUUCACCAUAAUACAAUGUGUUCAGCGCAAAAUCACCAUUCCACUCAAGCCAACCAUGUGGGUGUAUAUGAUCACCCAUGUUAGAUAACAUGUAUACUGUUCGCGAAUACAUCUUCCAUGGUCGACCUAGAUAUGUAGAGAAGCUUCCUUUAGACGCCUGAAGAUCAGGUGUUGCCAUGAUUUUGCAAGCAUGGAUUGAAAUGCCAGUGUUUUGGUUAGGGUCCUUCCUGUUUUGGGCUGUGAUGGUGUUCUUUUGAUUAGCCAUCGGCUUUCGAGCAUAGAUGUUACAGUUUUGGAGGACCACUGCUGCAUUUCCAAAAAUGAAAUCUACUGUACCAUAGAUAUCACACUCGCGAUAGAAUUGACGCUGUGAAUGCACGUAGAGGGUGUCUUGGUAUCCAAUAACAUUGCAGCGGAAGACCACGGCGUGAUCACCUCCGAUACGGAGGGCUACUGCUUGAUGAUUGUUUGGUCCAGCAUAGUUCUCAAAUGUCAUAUCCCUUGCUAUAAAACCAGCUCCAGUUGCAGCAAAGGAGGCAGUAUGGAAUGUUGUUAGGUGUUGAGAUACACUUUUUCCUCCCGUAAUUACCGUCUUCCCCUUUCCAUCUCCUAUGAACAUCACGUUCAUUUUUUUCCUCCCUACUUUCAAAUUAUUUUCUUCAUACCUUCCCGCCUUCACGUAAAUUAUGGUCCGGUGAUUACUCUUUUCCGGCACCUUUUUUAUCGCUUCAGCUAUUGUCUUCACUGUCCCGCUACCGUCCUUCGCCACUAUUAUAUCUGCUUGAAUUGUCGACACUGAUUUAUUCAUCAAUUUUCUAUCCCUCCGUGACAUCCAUUUCGGAAAUUCAUCAUGAUAUGUUUCGAAUUCCAUCAAUCUACGCCGGCGAUUCUGUAUCGGAAUCCCGGAGAAGUCAUCGUCGCCAUUCGCGGCGGUGUAAAUAGCGAGAGCAUUACUCACCAAUUCAGAUAAGUCCUUUAGGUUCUCCGACAUAUGAUCCUUCACAUUCCCGGUGACGUCGGCGAAUCCGUCGGUACACGUGUCCUGAUUCGUCAGAGCUGCGCUUAGCCACGUCAUGACGUCCUGUGUAGAUCCCGUCGGCGAAUCUCCAUCUCCGGAGAAAACAGAGUCUAACGAGUGUGAGAGAAGAUCAACUGAUUCUUCCAACAGUUCAAGGCAAUCGUCGUACGCCGAUCUAACUUGCGUAUUCAUUUGUAGGUUGUUGAUAUCGGAAGCUUUGUAAAGUCCUUUACCAAAUCGCUGCAGAGUUAAAUUGACGGAAAUGUGAACGAGGUCACUGUCAGAAGCAGAGUUAGCUCCAGGAUAAUUAAUCAGCGAAUUGAGACAGAGAGAUGGAUACAGAGUACGACUACAGGUACGCGCCAUUGCUUGACUUGGUUUAUCAAUUCUAUUUCCGGCCUUAUGCCGAACUCCGAUCAAAACCGCAACAGAAAUCGCCGAAGCAAUUAAAAGUACAGUGGCUGAAAUCAACAUGAUUUUAAUCUUACUACUCCGGGGAUUGGGAAUUAUCACCCUGCCGGAGGUUUCUCCGGGGUCCGGUUUUCCUAAACGGCCAUAGCCCAUUUUUAUGAAUACAGAAAAUGUGAACAAAAAUGGAAGUUAGUGAGUGAAAGAGUGUGAUGAAGAAUGGAGAAAUUAUGUGAGUAUAUAUUGG
This 2104-nucleotide unclassified non-coding RNA is filed under the name Hevea brasiliensis (rubber tree). Lineage: Eukaryota; Viridiplantae; Streptophyta; Magnoliopsida; Malpighiales; Euphorbiaceae. The record is from RNAcentral.